Molecule: small nuclear RNA, 108 nt
Organism: Sorex fumeus (smoky shrew)
Lineage: Eukaryota; Metazoa; Chordata; Mammalia; Eulipotyphla; Soricidae
Source: RefSeq, a predicted model, not a curated record
GUGCUUGUUUUGGCAGCAUAUAUUACUGAAACUGGAAAGAUACAGAGAAGAUUAGCAUGGCCCUGGAGCAUCAGGGGCACAAAAGUUCAUGAAACAUUUCAUAUUUUU